CCUACGGGAGGCAGCAGUGAGGAAUAUUGGUCAAUGGACGCAAGUCUGAACCAGCCAUGCCGCGUGCAGGAAGACGGCUCUAUGAGUUGUAAACUGCUUUUGUACGAGGGUAAACUCCGAUACGCGUAUCUUUCUGCAAGUAUCUUACGAAUAAGGAUCGGCUAACUCCGUGCCAGCAGCCGCGGUAAUACGGAGGAUUCAAGCGUUAUCCGGAUUUAUUGGGUUUAAAGGGUGCGUAGGCGGUCGGAUAAGUUAGAGGUGAAAGCCCGAGGCUCAACUUCGGAAUUGCCGCUGAUACUGUUAGGCUAGAGAGUAGUUGCGGUAGGCGGAAUGUAUGGUGUAGCGGUGAAAUGCUUAGAGAUCAUACAGAACACCGAUUGCGAAGGCAGCUUACCAAGCUACUUCUGACGUUGAGGCACGAAAGCGUGGGGAGCAAACAGGAUUAGAUACCCUGGUAGUC
This 460-nucleotide ribosomal RNA is filed under the name uncultured bacterium. Its description in RNAcentral is "partial 16S ribosomal RNA". It matches the Rfam family "Bacterial small subunit ribosomal RNA", at positions 338 to 795 of the family's 1533-position model. The record is from RNAcentral.